GUCCACGCUGUAAACGAUGAGUGCUAGAUGUUGGUGAAGGAAUUCAUCAGUGUCGCAGCUAACGCAUUAAGCACUCCGCCUGGGGAGUACGGUCGCAAGAUUAAAACUCAAAGGAAUUGACGGGGGCUCGAACAAGCGGUGGAGUAUGUGGUUUAAUUCGAAGCAACGCGAAAAACCUUACCAGCUCUUGACAUGGGGAUUCUGGAGAUCAGAGAUGAUUUCCUUCGGUUCGGCCGGGUCCCACACAGGUGCUGCAUGGCUGUCGU
This 266-nucleotide ribosomal RNA is filed under the name uncultured bacterium. Its description in RNAcentral is "partial 16S ribosomal RNA". It matches the Rfam family "Bacterial small subunit ribosomal RNA", at positions 793 to 1055 of the family's 1533-position model. The record is from RNAcentral.